CCUACGGGUGGCAGCAGUGAGGAAUAUUGGUCAAUGGGCGCGAGCCUGACCCAGCCAAGUAGCGUGAAGGAUGACUGCCUUACGGGUUGUAAACUUCUUUUAUAAAGGAAUAAAGUGAGGCACGUGUGCAUUUUUGUCUGUACUUUAUGAAUAAGGAUCGGCUAACUCCGUGCCAGCAGCCGCGGUAAUACGGAGGUUCCGAGCGUUAUCCGGAUUUAGUGGGUUUAAAGGGAGCGUAGAUGGGUUGUUAAGUCAGGUGUGAAAGUUUGCGGCUCAACCGUAAAAUUGCAAUUGAUACUGGCAGUCUUGAGUACAGUUGAGGUAAGCGGAAUUCGUGGUGUAGCGGGGAAAUGCGUAGAUAUCACGAAGAACUCCGAUUGCGAAGGCAGCUUACUAAACUGCCACUGACAUUGAUGCUCGAAAGUGUGGGUAUCAAACAGGAUUAGAUACCCUAGUAGUC
Molecule: ribosomal RNA, 460 nt
Filed under: uncultured bacterium
Lineage: Bacteria
Description: partial 16S ribosomal RNA
Rfam family: Bacterial small subunit ribosomal RNA
Source: RNAcentral